RNAcentral lists this ribosomal RNA (541 nucleotides) under Salmonella enterica. Its description in RNAcentral is "partial 23S ribosomal RNA". It matches the Rfam family "Bacterial large subunit ribosomal RNA", at positions 911 to 1448 of the family's 2925-position model. The record is from RNAcentral. Lineage: Bacteria; Pseudomonadati; Pseudomonadota; Gammaproteobacteria; Enterobacterales; Enterobacteriaceae.
UGUUUCGGCUAGGGGGCCAUCCCGGCUUACCAACCCGAUGCAAACUGCGAAUACCGGAGAAUGUUAUCACGGGAGACACACGGCGGGUGCUAACGUCCGUCGUGAAGAGGGAAACAACCCAGACCGCCAGCUAAGGUCCCAAAGUCAUGGUUAAGUGGGAAACGAUGUGGGAAGGCCCAGACAGCCAGGAUGUUGGCUUAGAAGCAGCCAUCAUUUAAAGAAAGCGUAAUAGCUCACUGGUCGAGUCGGCCUGCGCGGAAGAUGUAACGGGGCUAAACCAUGCACCGAAGCUGCGGCAGCGACGCUGAUGCGUUGUUGGGUAGGGGAGCGUUCUGUAAGCCUGCGAAGGUGGCCUGUGAGGGUUGCUGGAGGUAUCAGAAGUGCGAAUGCUGACAUAAGUAACGAUAAAGCGGGUGAAAAGCCCGCUCGCCGGAAGACCAAGGGUUCCUGUCCAACGUUAAUCGGGGCAGGGUGAGUCGACCCCUAAGGCGAGGCCGAAAGGCGUAGUCGAUGGGAAACGGGUUAAUAUUCCCGUACUUGG